UACAGAGGGUGCAAGCGUUAAUCGGAAUUACUGGACGUAAAGCGCGCGUAGGUGGUUGUGUAAGUUGGAUGUGAAAGCCCCGGGCUUAACCUGGGAACUGCAUUCAAAACUGCACGGCUAGAGUACGGGAGAGGGGGGUAGAAUUUCCUGUGUAGCGGUGAAAUGCGUAGAUAUAGGAAGGAACACCAGUGGCGAAGGCGACCACCUGGACUGAUACUGACACUGAGGUGCGAAAGCGUGGGGAGCAAACAGGAUUAGAUACCCCGGUAGU
RNAcentral lists this ribosomal RNA (271 nucleotides) under uncultured bacterium. RNAcentral's name for it is "partial 16S ribosomal RNA". It matches the Rfam family "Bacterial small subunit ribosomal RNA", at positions 524 to 794 of the family's 1533-position model. The record is from RNAcentral.